Molecule: ribosomal RNA, 320 nt
Filed under: uncultured bacterium
Lineage: Bacteria
Description: bacterial SSU rRNA
Rfam family: Bacterial small subunit ribosomal RNA
Source: RNAcentral
CCCCAUACUCCUUCUUACUCUGAGGUAAGUCGGGAAAACUCCGGUGCCAAGGGAUGGGGCUGUAUCCUAUCACCUUGUUGGUGAGGUAAUGGCUCACCAAGGCAAUGACGGGUAGCUGGUCUGAGAGGAUGAUCAGCCACACUGGAACUGAGACACGGUCCAGACUCCUACGGGAGGCACCAGUGGGGAAUAUUGCACAAUGGGGGAAACCCUGAUGCAGCAACCCCGCGUGGAGGAUGACGCAUUUCGGUGUGUAAACUCCUUUUAUAGGGGAAGAUAAUGACGGUACCCUAUGAAUAAGCACCGGCUAACUCCGUGCC